GCAGUUGUGGCCUAAUGGUUAGCAAGUCUGCCUUAUAACCUGAAGGUCGUGGGUUCAAGUCUCAGGUCUGGCA
Molecule: non-coding RNA, 73 nt
Organism: Pangasius djambal
Lineage: Eukaryota; Metazoa; Chordata; Actinopteri; Siluriformes; Pangasiidae
Source: the annotation of a GenBank genome assembly